Molecule: ribosomal RNA, 484 nt
Filed under: uncultured bacterium
Lineage: Bacteria
Description: partial 16S ribosomal RNA
Rfam family: Bacterial small subunit ribosomal RNA
Source: RNAcentral
AUUGAACGCUGGCGGCAGGCCUAACACAUGCAAGUCGAGCGGAUGAAGGGAGCUUGCUCCUGGAUUCAGCGGCGGACGGGUGAGUAAUGCCUAGGAAUCUGCCUGGUAGUGGGGGAUAACGUCCGGAAACGGGCGCUAAUACCGCAUACGUCCUUAUGGAGAAAGUGGGGGAUCUUCGGACCUCUCGCUAUCAUAUGAGCCUAGGUCGGAUUAGCUAGUUGGUGGGGUAAAGGCCUACCAAGGCGACGAUCCGUAACUGGUCUGAGAGGAUGAUCAGUCACACGGGAACUGAGACACGGUCAAGAAUCCUACGGGAGGCAGCAGUGGGGAAUAUUGGACAAUGGGCGAAAGCCUGAUACAGCAAUGCCGCGUGUGUGAAGAAGGUCUUCGGAUUGUAAAGCACUUUAAGUUGGGAGGAAGGGAAGUAAGUUAAUACCUUGCUGUUUUGACGUUACCAACAGAAUAAGCACCGGCUAACUUCGUG